CCAAGGAGUCUAACAUGUGCGCAAGUCAUUGAGUUUUACGAAACUUAAAGGCGAAAUGAAAGUAAAAGCUACCCUAGGUAGCCUAGGUGUGAUCCAAUUUAUUUUGGCGCAACACCGUCCGGUCAUAAUUGCUUUGCAAUGUGGCUGAGAAAGAGCGUACACGUUGGGACCCGAAAGAUGGUGAACUAUGCCUGAGCAGGAUGAAGCCAGAGGAAACUCUGGUGGAGGUCCGUCGCGGUUCUGACGUGCAAAUCGAUCGUCAAACUUGGGUAUAGGGGCGAAAGACUAAUCGAACCAUCUA
RNAcentral lists this ribosomal RNA (301 nucleotides) under Brachionus plicatilis. Its description in RNAcentral is "eukaryotic LSU rRNA". It matches the Rfam family "Eukaryotic large subunit ribosomal RNA", at positions 666 to 946 of the family's 3401-position model. Lineage: Eukaryota; Metazoa; Rotifera; Eurotatoria; Ploima; Brachionidae. The record is from RNAcentral.